GGAUGUGAGGGUGAUCUGGCUAAGACCUCUGUCACCCCACUGAUUUCCAGGGGUGAUCUGGCUUAUCUGGCUGGCCAGGCAGGUGUCCCCCUUUCCCCUUACCAUUCCAUGUGCGUCCCUCCUGUGCCAGCGUGAAGAGGACCUGAUAGAGGAGGACCAUUCCUCCGUCAAGGGUAUAAGAGUAGUUGUGCUACCUUCUAGAACCUUCUAACUAGCUUUUAAUUUUUUGAAUAUAUACCUCAAAAUGGAAUUGCUGGGUUGUAUGGUAAGUCUCUUUAAUUUCAUGAAGAAUUGCUAUAAUGUUU
Cavia porcellus (domestic guinea pig) is the source of this 305-nucleotide unclassified non-coding RNA. Its record names the gene 7SK. It matches the Rfam family "7SK RNA". Rfam says of the family: 7SK was discovered as an abundant small nuclear RNA in the mid-70s but a possible function has only recently been suggested. NCBI's taxonomy places the organism in Eukaryota, Metazoa, Chordata, Mammalia, Rodentia, Caviidae. The record is from Ensembl.